Cyprinodon tularosa is the source of this 915-nucleotide long non-coding RNA. RefSeq lists it as uncharacterized. The record is from RefSeq and is a predicted model, not a curated record. The transcript is spliced from 3 exons. Lineage: Eukaryota; Metazoa; Chordata; Actinopteri; Cyprinodontiformes; Cyprinodontidae.
UGGAGAACAGGUGAGUAACACAGCGACUGUAUGCCAGAAGAAAUACAUGAAGGUUAGCAAUGAGCAACACCUGAGGAAAAAGACAAGAGCAGAGGGUGAAAGAGAAACAAGCAGCAGCAGGACAGAGAGAUAAAGGGAAGGAUAUAUGAGAAGGAAAAAACAAAACAAAAAGAAUAAUGAACUACAGUAAUCUAAUCUACCAAAAAAGGCAGGAACAACAAAUCAUCAACAGGGAAGGAUUUUUUUGUAUUUUAACAACACUGUAUCUACACAAUCCAAACGAUAGAAGCAAAUAUUGAUGUAAAACAAAUGUCAGCUCAAAAAUCAUUAAUGAGGGACUUGUUAAACUGUACUUGUCCUUCAUCUGACACAGUGUAUAAAAUAUUAUCAAAACCCCGUAACUGAAUAAAACCCUUCAUUUUUCCGUGUGGCCCUGUGGAAAUGAAACUCCAGCUUUAUUCUGGCUUUAAUGUUGCGCUUCCAAAGAGCCACGGCAUCAAGGCUCCUGCCAGGGAUCCCGAUGAGGAGGGCAUUGCAGUAAUCCAUCCUGGAAUAGAUAAAAGCACGGAUCAACUUCUCAGCAUCAGGGCACAACCAGCAGUUACUCAAACAGAACUUCCUACCUGAUCUGUGGAGCCACUCCCACCAUGGACCUCCUGAGGGCUCCGUUGAUUGAUGAUUGCUCCUGUUCUCUCUGUUCUCAAACAAACCUCUGAGGCUGAAUCACACAAAGGUGAGUUUGAUUUACUAAUCAGGGUUGGCCAGUUGGUUGCUCUAUCGCAGGUGUCUACAACUUUAAAAUCCAAAGAGCCAUCUUACUAAGAGUCCAGCAAAAUAAAAGUCAUGUAGGUAAUUCAUUAAACACUUCCUGUACUUUGGUUGAAUAUAUGCUCUAGGUCAUCUGCUGCAGUUUUA